RNAcentral lists this unclassified non-coding RNA (257 nucleotides) under plant metagenome. Its description in RNAcentral is "partial contains small subunit ribosomal RNA, internal transcribed spacer 1, and 5.8S ribosomal RNA". The record is from RNAcentral.
UUUCCGUAGGUGAACCUGCGGAAGGAUCAUUAACGAGUUAGGGUCUUCUAGGCCCGACCUCCCAACCCUUUGUUUACUGAACCAUUGUUGCCUCGGUGGGUCCGUCUUACGACCGCCGGGGGAUCGCCGCGAGGCGCCCCCUGGCCAGCGCCCACCGAUAGCCCAACCUUUAAAACCCUUUGUGAAUCGUGUCUUAUGUCUAAAUUUAAGAUUAAACAAUCAAAACAAAACUUUCAACAACGGAUCUCUUGGUUCUG